UGAAACAAAUCUCUUGUCUGCUUUCUGCUUUAGGAGGUCACUGGCAAUUGGCAGUUGAUUCCGAUUAGGUUCAGCCCCCAGUACUGUGGGCCUGUUGUGAUCCCCCCCCCCCCACACACACACACACACAGUCACAUCACUGUUACAAUGUUUACUGUUUCCAACAUGAAUGUAUUGUAAUGUGCAGAACAAUGCCGGUCCGGUGGUUAAAGCUUGGAGAACUUUCCAGUUCAUCAGCCCCAUCAUCACCUACAUGCGUGGGGGAUCCCAGCAGGUGGUGGUGAGGAUGAACCACGUGAGUAGGGUGAGAGGCCUGGAGACUCAACUGGUGUGGGCCAUCUCCAAGGAGACAUCCAGGCUUAGUCCAGAGGGCAUCCCCUACUGUGCCACCAAAGUGCAGUCCAUCACUUGGAUCCAGCGUGUGGCUGGCAGGGUGACCCACUAUGCGUCUCACCUCCGCCACGAGACGUCUGUGGACAUGACGCUUGGCUGCAACCAGGUAAAUAAACGAUUUCCUAUGUAUAUAGACUAGACAUUACUGGGCAUUUUUGCAUUUGAUUUGGUGUGU
This 568-nucleotide long non-coding RNA is filed under the name Oncorhynchus kisutch (coho salmon). RNAcentral describes it as "lncRNA (ENSOKIG00005028774.1)". Lineage: Eukaryota; Metazoa; Chordata; Actinopteri; Salmoniformes; Salmonidae. The record is from RNAcentral.